UCAUCACUUCAUCCUUGAUCACACAAAUCGGCACUUCCCAGUUAACUGUCUUUACAUUUCUUGGCCCAGUGAUGCACAGUACUUAUAGCAACAAUCAGAACUAUCAGCAACCAACAUUCGGCAAUGAAUUUCAUCCUGAGGGACUCCUUUGGAAGUAAUGAUGGCACAUUGUGUGAAGUGCACUGAUCAGUAUUCAUUCUAGGCUUCCAUUUCACAAAUAAUAGCAACACAACCUUUUCUCACAACUUCCCACCAAUGAAGUGAAAUGGCAGAUGCUAAAGAAUACACCAGAGUUCCUACCGGUAGUUUAUCAAAUUGGUAUCUGUUAGUUUCUUAUAAAAUAGGAUGUAUUACUUUUAAUUCAACUUCUUUUGGUCUAUGUAUAGUCUAUUUAACUUUUGGGGAUCAGCCAAGGAUACUAGUUACUGUUAAAAUAAUGCAUCACAACUUUGUUUUAAUUCUGUAGGUAGACUGAGAAAGUUGUUAGGUUGCAUACUUUUAUGAUUAUACUUGGAUAAGUAGUUCAUCUUUGUGUUUAUUUUUCACCAAAUGAAUUGCAGUAAACUUGUAUGACUAAGGUUUACAGAGCAGACAGCAAUUUUAAUAUUUCAGGGAUUCCCCAGUAAAAUAUAUUUAUCAUAGGUUUCUACCAGUCAGGCUGAAUUUCUUGAUGCACUCUAGUUCAGGGAUCUCCAACCUUGGCAACUUUAAGCCUGGAGGACUUCAACUCCCAGAAUCCCGCAGCAAAGCUGGCUGGGGGAUUCUGGGAGUUGAAGUCCUCCAGGCUUAAAGUUGCCAAGGUUGGAGACCUCUGCUCUGGUAUGUCCAGCUGGGAAUAUUUGGCUCAUUUUUACUGCUCUCUUCUCAGUUUAGUCCCUCCCUAUGCAAAAAAUAAAAAGGGAGGCCUUUUUAACUUCCUGCCCAAAGUAUAGGAAUAUGUGUAUGCGUCAUCCCAGGGUUCCUUUUGGUAGACAGACGGAAAUAAAAAUAAAACUUGCUCCAGCUCUGAAAAAAAAAUUGUAAAAGGUUUUAAUGAGAAAUUAUCUUAUUAAACCAACAAAGCCAGUUUAUUGGAAAGAGAAAUACCCGAAAAAGAAGACAACAAUAGCAAAGGGAAUUCCAAAUAAAAGCUAUAUAGUCAGCCUCAUUAAAUGAAUUGCUUAUUAUUCACUUGUCAGAACAUUUGAGUUGUUCCCGGAGGAGAAUAGUUGGAAAGGUUAUCAGUAUCUCCAAAUUGUUCCUUUCUAACAGUAUCAGUUUUAUGGUAAUUGGAGGAUGUUUCAAAAUCACAAAUUUUGCUAAUUGUUGCGAAUUUAUGUUCCGUAUUUUUAAGGAUUGAGAAUUUAUUUGAAAAAUUAAAUAUAAAUGCCUUUCAUUUGACCUUCGUUUAGCAGAUUCUUAAAGGGGUACUCGUCUAUUAUAUCAAAAUAGAACAGAAUAUUGGAAGACUAACUGAAAUUUUGGGCCCUGUCAAUUAUUGUGAUAAACACAGACCAUUUAAAUGCUUCUGUUGUUACCAUUUUUGUUGUUAGUAUGGCACAAAACAUGGCUCAACUGAUACUUUCAUAACAUUUUUACAGUUGAAAUAAAUGCAUCCAUGGCUUUAAUGGGCAGAGGACUUUAAAUGUUUCUCUUCCUGUUUCUUCAAGCUCUUACAUUUUGAAACCGAAAUACGCAGAGCUAAGGUUGCUUGAAGGGAAUUUAAUUUUUCUCCUUUAGGUCACUAGUUCAAAUGGACCCCAAUAAUGAAAUAUGAUUAUCUUCUGAUAACGCUUCAGUUAAUAAUUCAGCAGCACUUGGGGUCUCCAUUUAGUUUCCUGCCAAUUGUUAUCCAGGACUUAACUGACACUAAUCUUAUUUUUUAUUGGCAUCCAGAAGGAAGUUCAAAGUGAUUGACUUCUUUCUCUCUAAAAAUUAAUGGUAGAAAUGAAGGUCUGGAAGUUUGGAAGAACAAGUUUUAUAGUUAGAAAAUUAAAUAAAAUCUUCAUAACCUGUUAUAUCCAGUAGAUGGCACUGUAUGGCACUGUAUUAAUCUGUUAAACUCAAAGAAACAGAUUUUCAGGCACUGUAGCAAUAGCAGCCUGCAUUUGGUCUGAAAUUGCUUCAUUCCUCUAUCAAAUAUGUGAGACAGCCAUAUACUUGAUUAAAGUUAAAUCUGUUUAAACUAAAACUAGUUUAAUCUAAUUAAACUGUUAGACUAUUCUUGGUUAUGCUGUAUAUAAGAAAGUGAGCAAUAUUGAUUCAGGAUUGAUUAAUAACAUUUAAUCUAAACAGUAAUCAUAAAUAUAUUCCUAAAUUUUUGAAGGGGCCAGAACAAAUUUAAAUAGAUAGAGUUAGGGUUGUCAGUUUAGAAUUACAGGGUAUUGAUAUGUUCUAUUUGAGGGCUAAAUAUUCUUCAAAAAAAUUGUUAUUGAAGGCUUUUGUAAAGUUAAAGCAAUUAUUGCCUAUAAUUUAGAAGCAUUUUACAGCAUUUUUUUUAUAUCAACUAACUUGAAGAUCCCAAAUAGGGAAAAGGAUAAGUGAACCUGUUUCAUUAAUUGGCCUAUUAAUAAUGAAGCUCAAAACCUGAAAUUAAAGAAGUCAUGAUUAAAUAUACAUUUCAAGCCAUUUUUAUUAAUACAAAUCCUAUUCUCUAGUGCAAGAAAAAAAUCUGAGAGUUUCCUUAGUAUAACAGAAACGUUUCCUUCAAAAAAAGGCACUUCUGAACUUUGUUAUGACACAGACAAUGUCUAACAAAUGAUAUUCCCAAUCAAGACAUGAGGCAGCUUUCCCCAAAUUUGGCAUUUUCUAUAUAUACUAACCUAUAGCUCCCAUAAUUCUCAGCUGGUAUGACACAUGCUUUAAGGCAUAUUUUGAUAGUAUGAAAUGAUAUUUAUUUAAGAAAUCCCCAGAAUAUACGGUAAUAUACUGCAAAAACAAACAGCACUCUGACUUCUUUUUUCCAAACCACAUUUUUAAAAAUUAUAAGACUUCUUUACAAAUUUGUAAGGAAGCAUAUAAAUCAUUACAUUUUUUAAAAAAAACCUUCUUUCUCACCUCUGUGUGGUAUAUGUGUUCCUCAGUUUUGGGUCUGUUUGGCACAUCAGCUGUUUGUUGAUGGUGUAUCCCAUUUAGAGCCUUGUCUUGCAAAGGUAUUUCCUCUGUUUGAUUUUUCUCCCACGUCUGUUGCUGUCUCAGGCAUUAUUUCAGCAGGUUAUCUUUGGAUGCCAUCUUACUGUUAUACUCUUAGAUGUUCUGGAUUUCAUCCAGGACAAUAGCUUUGAUACUCACUAGACCAGAGGCAUAGCUGGCUGGAGAAUUCUGGGAGUUGAAGUCCACAGUCUUAAAGCUGCCAAGUUUGAAGACCUCUGCACUAGACCAUACCGACCCAGUGGAAAUCACUGUACAUUGUGAGGUCUUCACAUCAAGAGCUUCCCUGUCCUCCUUUGGCUAACUCACUAUAUUGGCACAGUGACUGGCAGGGCAUACAUGUUAAUGGCAUGGAUCUUGUUAUUCCAAUUGAGUUCACACUCUUCAUGACCUAUCUUAUCCUUUGGUAGUACUUGGAUGUUGCUGUUUUCCUUACCUCCUCAUUGUGGUUCCCAUGUGACUGUGGGACUUGUAGUUGGUCUGUGUGGUCUACUGGUGGUUCCAGUCCAUCAGUCUGAACUGUUUUCUCUCUCUUGUCUACCAUCCUGCCAAACUUCUCCAAUCCAAAUCAUAUUCUAAUGUCCUCACUGUAGAUCCCUGCCAGGUGAAUUAGCAAGUCAAUAUCUCAUCCGUUCUUAGUAUACAGCUUGAUGUAUUCCACAUAGAGGAGAUGGUUGACAGUAGUUCCACUCUUGAGCUCAUAUCUGGCUAAGUGGGUUCAAGCCUACGCAGAACAGCAGGAGAGUGUAUCACCUUGGUAUGUGCCAAACCUAAUAGCCUCUUGUGUGAGUUGUCUUGUGCUGACUUACCAUUUUUUCUUCCACAGCCUUAUUGAGUUCUUGCAGAAGGGUCUUAAAUGUCUGGUUGCCAAGUAUAUACAGAUCCAUGUGUAUGGAGUUCAAUUGUAGGCCUUCCUAUAGUCAAUGCAGGCUAUGCUUAGAUUGGCGAUGUACUGCUGUUCUUGAUUAUACAGCCACGGAUCUUCAAGAUAACAGUGUCUAUAUUUUAUGCCAGUUCAUUGGUUUGAGUUAUGGUGGUAAAUGGGAUUGUUGUGAGGACUGUAUUGGCUUCUUCUAGCAUACUAUCUGAUGAUACGUCCCUACUGAGACUUACAACUAGUCUGACUAUAGCUACUGUAUCCGUGAUCUUAUUCUUCUUUCAGCUGCUGUACAAUUUUUAGACAGCAGCGUAUCAUUUUAUUACAUGAUUUCACUUCAUGUUCAGGUGCCAAUUUAGAAAUAAAGUACAUUUAAAAUAAUUUUAAACUAUUUUAACUUGAAAAGCUAGGAAAAAGAAAAGGAGCUAAAUUCUUGCAUUCUUUGUAAAAUUUCAACCAUUUUUCUUAAUAUUGAUGGUCAGUAGGCAUUGUCUUCACAAGUGAUCACUAUUUUAAGAGGUACAGCGCAGUGUAUCAGUUUUUUACUAACUACAAUCUAUUUUAAGACAUCAUGAGCAUAGCAGCUACCUUGUAGCACAUUGCGUUACUUAUCUUUAUAUUGUUUUGAGAAUAUAGUUUUUAGUUCUGCAACUUGAUCCAACUAGCUUUGGAUUAUGAAUUUCAGUUUCUAAAAAAAUGGGUUGUUUUCUACUUGUAUCCUUUUUUCAGUAGUAAUAUUUUUGUGAAUUCUGCCCAGAAUCACAGUGAUUAGUGAAUGUGGAAACAUCUGUGAUGCUAGUUAUUAUAUAAGAUAAACAAUGCUAUUAUUUGGUAUUAUUUGCUGGUUUUCUAACAGAGUGGACAUUGCAUCUUUAUUGUAAAGGGCCCUUCAAUCUUUUUCUUUGUCCUGUUUGCUUGGAGUCAGUGUUUCUUAAUGAAGCAGUCUGCUUAUUCAAAUGGUAAUUGGAUCAUAUCCAAAUAUGACUCAGUGGGAAAUCCGUUCAUUUUCUUCCUUAGGUUGCUUUGUGAUCGCAUCCGGCCAUCGCUAAUAAAUCUGAAUACUUUCUAAAAGAGCUGCUAUUAGCCUCAUAUAUCCACCAAGAAAGUGUUUCCUUAGAAUGUGUCAGUAGACUUCAGGCUUUUGAUUUUUUUGAAAGUCUGUUGAGAUUAUUGCUAGAUGAUAUAGAUGGACAGAUCUACAUACAAAAAUAUGCAAAUACAAUAUACAUAAACAUUGCCAUGCUCACUGCAAGAAAAUAUCCAUUAAAAAAACCGUUUUCUUUAAAAAGUUUCCUUUUAAAAAUGAAAUCGGAAUUGUUUCAAACAUUAAUACUUGAAGCAGUUUUCUAACCCAGGAUUCUGAAUCUCUGGGUCAACACUUGGGGGACUCGGUCGCUAGCAAAUCGGGGGGGGGGGGAGCGGUGUUUGAAAGGGGUGGUUGUCCCUGCGAAGGAUUGGACGUUUUUGGUCCUAUCCUGUCUGCCUGGACAAGUCGGGAGCAAGAGUUUUCACAGCCAGCUUUGACGGGAGGACAAAGCUUGUAUUUUCGACCUUUUUGUCCCGUGAGAGUUGGGAGGUUGCGGCUCUCAUGCGCGGCGAGAGGCCCGGCUGCUGCAGGAGGUCUCUCCUGUUCGCGCCGGCCUCGGCUCGGAAACUAAACAUCUAAGUGACGGAACCGGCCAACCCGGGGGCCUUUUUUGUCACGCCGGCGCUUCGCAUCCAAAUCUCCACCCGGUGGAAGAGCGGGAAGGAAGCGGCGCUGGCCCCUUGUCGCCAGUCCAGGCUAGCUGGAACGGCGAGAGUUCUGCAGGCGAGCUGAGCUGCGGUCGUGUCUCUCAUUUCGGAGCCAAAAUUGCAGCCGGCAUUAUCGGGACCAUGUACUGUAGAGUUAAACAAACAAAAUACUGCUAGCGCCAGACACGCUCGGAAAGCGUCUUUUCCUUCUCUGUGGAAGCCUGGCUAAGUCACAAAGGAAGACAAUAUGUCGCGACACCAACCCUCGAAGGGGAGGGAAAUUCAUAUAGAAAAGAGACCGAUUAGAACUGGGUGACUUCCAUUUCCUUGGUGGUUGGAGAUCGUUGAGAUUGCGCUGCAAGGCAGGGCACCUCUGUGUUCUGGAAGGCUGGGGCACUACUGGGGAGAGGCACCCCAAAACGGGAUGAGACCAAAAGGGACAAGGGAGGGCUGCAUUGGAGAGGAGAAAGGGAAGUGGUGGGCGCAAGGAGGAAAUGGCAUCAGGGAGGGAGUGAUGGGUUUUGGAAUGGAAGGUAGCGGGGCAGGAUGACCGGCAGACAGUUUUCCAUAACUCCCAUCUUUUCAGGUUAAGGUUAUGGUUCAUGCUCAGUACUACCAAGAAGGUGGUAAUAGUCUCCCUCAAGAUGCAUUUCACAGACAUGGCCAGGAAGUGGAUUGGCACUGCUGCCUACAAUUUCUUUGAUUUCCCAAUCUAAUCUAAAGUAGUGGUCUUUCCUGUGGUCUUGCAUCUAAUGCUAAUUAAGGUAGCCAGCUAAUCCUGGCUAGCUUUCUUACAGUGCUGCACAAGCUGGGUCUUCAACCUUCAACAGAUGAAGCGGCAUAAAACAACUGAAUAACUACCUACAGAAUUUCAACUAUAGUUGCAGUAUCCAGAGACAGAAGUUUACAGAUACAAUGCAAAAGGAAAGGGAAGGGAAGGAGGGAAGAAAGAAAGGAAUAUGUACAUUCUGACAGGCCUGCAGUUUUCUUGUUUCAAGCCAAACACGUAAUACUUCUGUUGAGCGGAUGGAUGGCAUCCUGCAGAUGAAUGGCAUUCUCUGCAAUGGAAUGAGUGCAUAGGGAUGUAUGUAGCACCUGUCGGCAAUCUAAUAUGUUUAGCUAUUAAACCAAACAUUUCUGGGUGCAGCAAGGAGGGCAACUGCAUGAUCCUUGGGAAGGUGCCAGCUAUUUUAAAGAGUAGCUGACAGGUGCUAUAUAAGGGCUCUCCCUGAAUGGCAAUGCAACAUUUUUCCUUCUAAGGUGAAGCAUUGCAGCCCUAAUAAAUAUUAUUAAACGCAGUAACUAAAUGGAUUAAAAAGUAGCAGUGCACAGUGGGUUGUAUGGUCUAACCCUUUAGACUGAAGCCAGAUGACGCAACAUCAUUGAUUAACAGCGAUGAUGUGCUUCAUGGCCCAACUGGUCAAAGCAGCUGCAGCUGGAAUAUAUACCAUUAAAAGAAAAUCCUAGAAAUGUAAGUGGUAGGCAAAUGAAGCAAUUGGAUUUUGCUUUUGGGAAUGUAGGAACAGUGGUAGGUCACAGUAUCCUCACUGUCAGCAUGUCCAUAAAUUCUCUCCACAGUUGUCACUACAAAUUCUUUUCUUAAAAGAAGCAUAGCAACAAAGAUGGCUUUAAUUAAGUUUAAACAAGCUUUGGAUAAAGACAUGUCUUUCACCUGACCAAAAUUUAAUAAAUAAAUAAAUAAAGAUAUAAUUUAAAAUAGUAAA
Long non-coding RNA from Ahaetulla prasina, 7464 nucleotides. RefSeq lists it as uncharacterized. The record is from RefSeq and is a predicted model, not a curated record. Lineage: Eukaryota; Metazoa; Chordata; Lepidosauria; Squamata; Colubridae. The transcript has 2 exons.